UUCGAUGCAACGCGAAGAACCUUACCUGGUCUUGACAUCCCGGAGACCCUUAGGAAACUAGGGGUGCUUCCAUCUGGAAGAAUCUGGAGACAGGUGCUGCAUGGCUGUCGUCAGCUCGUGUCGUGAGAUGUUGGGUUAAGUCCCGCAACGAGCGCAACCCUUGCCUUUAGUUGCCAGCAGUUCGGCUGGGCACUCUAAAGGGACUGCCGGUGUUAAACCGGAGGAAGGUGGGGAUGACGUCAAGUCCUCAUGGCCUUUAUGACCAGGGCUACACACGUACUACAAUGGCCGAUACAAAGGGCAGCGACACUGCGAGGUGAAGCCAAUCCCGUAAAAUCGGUCUCAGUCCGGAUUGGAGUCUGCAACUCGACUCCAUGGAGUUGGAAUCGCUAGUAAUCGUGGAUCAGCAUGCCACGGUGAAUACGUUCCCGGGCCUU
RNAcentral lists this ribosomal RNA (437 nucleotides) under uncultured Desulfobulbus sp. RNAcentral's name for it is "bacterial SSU rRNA". It matches the Rfam family "Bacterial small subunit ribosomal RNA", at positions 950 to 1382 of the family's 1533-position model. Lineage: Bacteria; Pseudomonadati; Thermodesulfobacteriota; Desulfobulbia; Desulfobulbales; Desulfobulbaceae. The record is from RNAcentral.